CACCUGCUGCACGCACGCGGCGUCGGCCUGGAGCACCUCUGCGCCGCGUUCCUCGCGCUGGACAUCGGCAAGACCGCGUUCCGCGACACGACGCCGUUCCACCCGUUCGGCAAGGCCGCGUCCCGCGCGAAGAACCUCGCAAG
Molecule: non-coding RNA, 143 nt
Filed under: Neobodo designis
Lineage: Eukaryota; Euglenozoa; Kinetoplastea; Neobodonida; Neobodonidae
Source: RNAcentral